Molecule: long non-coding RNA, 2354 nt
Organism: Armigeres subalbatus
Lineage: Eukaryota; Metazoa; Arthropoda; Insecta; Diptera; Culicidae
Exons: 3
Source: RefSeq, a predicted model, not a curated record
CUUUGCUGAUGUGCUCUCGUUGCACGAGAAUCCGGUUCAACAUUUCUUACGAUUUUCUGGUUUUCUUGAAGACUGCCUGAUCUGAUCCAGUGCGUGUGUUGGCCUAUUUGGAACAGAGCGUUUUUCCAAGAAGUGGUUCUUACCAGCACGGCUAACCUUGGCCUAAACCUUCCUCAGAAGUCUGGAUAAUAUUCGGAUUAGCUUGUAUGCGGCCCAGGAGACGUGCGUCAUCGACCCUUGAAGCACUUGAAGUAAUAGUUGCAUAGUGAGAGAUGUAUGCGAGGCAUUCAGAGUUUUUACUUGAAACGGACAGUUUCCAGUGUGCUGAUAUGAUUUUUCGAGAAAUAAUCUGUUCAGAUCACGACCGGGAAAUCCACUUUCACCAUUUAAAUAUGAGGACGAAGCUGACUCGGGUUAGGAGAGAAACCACCCGCCCCGUUGAUAAGCUAGAUCUCCGUGGUUUUGGAUAGCAUUUUCAACCACGAGCAUAUCGAUCAUAUGGCUGUGGGUAAACAAGCAUCUGAAGAGGAGCAAGACGAAAACAGUGGACAUGGAAAGUACAAAACCAUGAGCAGUUUGUAGAAUUCCAUCGAACUUCAGGUUAUGACUUAUGUAUUUAGUCUUAUCCAGAUGCGUGGACUUCGGUUCGGUUCUUUGUUUUUCGGUUCUUUGCGAUCAACGGAUUCUUACGAGUUUAACGUAAGAAAUCGGAUCGAAAGACAAAAGGUGAUGGAAUCAAACAAAUGAUUCAUUCCGCAAUGCAUGUUCUGACAAAUGACGUAGGAAACUCAAAUUAUCUCAUAAUUCAAUUAAUUUUAGUUAUUCAGGCUUAGGCCGUAUAAGCUAUUUGCGGUUUAAAGCGUUAGAAUUUUUGCUAGUGCGGAAAACGGCACAACUGCCUGAGUAAUUAUUCAUAAAAGAUUUUAUCAUUCCGUUGGAUGGACGUCGCCAACCAAGUAGCACAAUUUUCCAUCCGAUAAGUAGAAUGGUAAUUCCUUCAAUAUUUGCUUCGGGAAUUCACCCGACAAUUUCUUCCAGGAAUCCCUCUGAAUAUUCCACCGCGGAGGAUUCGUUUGGCGAUUCAUCAAAAAUUCCUCCCAGAAUUCUUCUGGAAAUUUCUUCAGGAAUUCCUCUGAAAAUUUCUCCGGGAAUUUCUCCAUGGAGGAUUCCUCUGAGACUUCCUCUGAAUAUUCAACCGGGAGUUCCAACGAGAAUUCAUCCAGGAAAUCCAACGAUAAUUCUUCAAGGAAUUCCUUCUAAAAUUUGUGUGGCAAUUCCUCUGAUAAUUCCUACGACAAGUCCUCUGGGAAAACCUCCUCUAAGAACUCCUCCGGAGAUUCCUCUGACGAUUCAAAUGGAAAUUACUCCGGCCAUUACUCCAGGACCUCCCCCGGGAAUUACUCCAGAAGUUCUUCCGGAAUUAUCCUCUGGGAAUUCCUCCGGAAGUUCCUCCGAGAUUUUCUCCACGAUAUCCCCAGGGAAUUUCUCGAAGAAUUCUUUAAAUUCCUUCAUUAUUUCUUCCACGAAUUCUUCUCCUAUUCUACUCCUCCAGAUAUUCCGUUGAAAAUAGCUCCGUGAAUUCCUCUGGAAAUUACUCCGAAAGCUUAAGAAUGGCUCCGUGAAUUCCUCUUGGAACUCCUCUGGAAAUUACUCCGGCAAUUACUCCAGGACUUCCCCCGGUAAUUCCUUGAGGAGUUUUUCAGGAAUUCCAUCAGAAAUUAAUCCGAGAAUUCCUGGAAAACGUCUUCUUGGAAUUCCUCUGAAUUUUGUCCAGGUCUUCUUCCUAGAAUUCCUUUAUAAAUUCACCCGGUUAUUCCUCUGGGAAUUACUCCAGGACUUCACCCGGGAAUUUUUCGGGGAAUUCUUUCAUUUAUUCGUCUAGGAAUUUCUCCAGUAAUUCUUACGGGAAAUCCUCCAUGAAUUUUUCCAGGUGUUCCUCUGGGAAUUCCUCCGAGAUAUUCUUCUGGACUUCCCGGCAAUUCCCCAUAAAUUCCUCCAAAUCCUUCAAGAAUUUUCUAGCAAUUCUAUCGGGAAUUCCUCGAGGUAUUUAUCUGGGAAUUCCUCUACAAAUUAUUCCAAGAAUUCCUCCAGAAAUUCUUCCUAAAAUUACUCCUGGAAUCUCCCACAGGAAUUCCUCCACGAUUUCUCAGGGAAUUCCUCCAGGAAUUCUUCAGGGUAUUCCUCUGGAAAUUUCUCCUGGAGUUUCAACGGUAGUCCCUCCAAGAUAACAAUGAGGAAUUUCUUUGGGGAUUCCCCCGGAAGUUCUUCCGGGUAUUUUUUUGGCAAAUUCUUCUGGUAUUCUUCUGAGAAUUUCUCUGGGAAUUCCACCACGAUUUCCUCCAGGAUUUCCUUGG